Long non-coding RNA from Vombatus ursinus (common wombat), 256 nucleotides. RefSeq lists it as uncharacterized. Lineage: Eukaryota; Metazoa; Chordata; Mammalia; Diprotodontia; Vombatidae. The record is from RefSeq and is a predicted model, not a curated record. The transcript has 3 exons.
GCGAGUGGCGGCUCCGCUCCAAUCACCGUCUCCGUCAGGAUGAAACCACAAAAGGAUGUACUGGUUCUGAAACACAAGGCACCAGUGAGUCUGCAUCCCUGGUCCACUAUCAAUAGCCUCAGGCUGCAGCUGGGUCCCACAAAUCCACAAAGCAUUCCUCUAAGAGAGAGUCCUAAUCUCACGUGUUGGUCUGAAAUGCCAUGGUGGUACUCACGCAUAAGCCUCAAAGUCCCCGUUAUUGACGGCCUCUAUCAGC